Molecule: ribosomal RNA, 429 nt
Filed under: uncultured bacterium
Lineage: Bacteria
Description: bacterial SSU rRNA
Rfam family: Bacterial small subunit ribosomal RNA
Source: RNAcentral
GAUGAACGCUGGCGGCGUGCCUAAUACAUGCAAGUCGAACGGGAAACUUUUUUCGAAAAGUUGAGAGUGGCGCACGGGUGAGUAACACGUAGCUAAUCUGCCCUCGAGAGCGGGAUAACGCGCCGAAAGGUGUGCUAAUACCGCAUAAGCUCACGGACUGUAGAGGUCUAUGAGAAAAGCUCAGGCGCUUGAGGAGGAGGCUGCGGCCCAUCAGCUAGUUGGUGAGGUAAUGGCUUACCAAGGCGACGACGGGUAGGGGACCUGAGAGGGUGACCCCCCACACUGGGACUGAGACACGGCCCAGACUCCUACGGGAGGCAGCAGUAAGGAAUAUUGCUCAAUGGGCGCAAGCCUGAAGCAGCGACGCCGCGUGGGUGAUGAAGGUUUUCGGAUCGUAAAGCCCUUUUCUGCGUGACGAGGAAGGACGGU